CCCCUCUCAGGGUCCACCUGGAGAGUUUCCAGUACUCUACCAAUCUCGACGAAGGAAGGGACAGUCAAGCAGAGGCAUACCCAUUCCAUUCCUAGCUUGGGCAGUGGCUAGUGAAUGGAAUGCAAUCUGCUACAAGU
Tachyglossus aculeatus (Australian echidna) is the source of this 137-nucleotide small nucleolar RNA. The record is from RefSeq and is a predicted model, not a curated record. NCBI's taxonomy places the organism in Eukaryota, Metazoa, Chordata, Mammalia, Monotremata, Tachyglossidae.